RNAcentral lists this ribosomal RNA (455 nucleotides) under uncultured bacterium. Its description in RNAcentral is "bacterial SSU rRNA". It matches the Rfam family "Bacterial small subunit ribosomal RNA", at positions 28 to 484 of the family's 1533-position model. The record is from RNAcentral.
GACGAACGCUGGCGGCGUGCCUAACACAUGCAAGUCAACUUGACUGAAGGAGCAAUCUGACAGUAGAGUGGCGCAAGGGUGCGUAACGCGUAAGUAACUUGCCCAAGGUAAGGAAUAACGUCGAGAAAUCGGCGCUAAUACCUCAUAAUGCAGCGGAUCCGCAUGGAUAUGUUGUUAAAGGUUUACCGCCUUGGGAUAGGCUUGCGUCUGAUUAGUUAGUUGGUGUGGUAACGGCACACCAAGGCUACGAUCAGUAACUGGUCUGAGAGGAUGAUCAGUCACACUGGAACUGAGACACGGUCCAGACUCCUACGGGAGGCGGCAGUGAGGAAUAUUGGGCAAUGCUCGAAAGAGUGACCCAGCAACGCCGCGUGGAGGAUGAAGGUAUUCUAUAUCGUAAACUCCUGUGAGAGCAGACGAAAGACAGAUUAUAAUCUGGAUGACUGUAUGCUCAG